CCUACGGGUGGCAGCAGUGAGGAAUAUUGGUCAAUGGACGAGAGUCUGAACCAGCCAAGUAGCGUGAAGGAUGACUGCCCUAUGGGUUGUAAACUUCUUUUAUAUGGGAAUAAAAUGUUCCACGUGUGGGAUUUUGUAUGUACCAUAUGAAUAAGGAUCGGCUAACUCCGUGCCAGCAGCCGCGGUAAUACGGAGGAUCCGAGCGUUAUCCGGAUUUAUUGGGUUUAAAGGGAGCGUAGGUGGAUUGUUAAGUCAGUUGUGAAAGUUUGCGGCUCAACCGUAAAAUUGCAGUUGAAACUGGCAGUCUUGAGUACAGUAGAGGUGGGCGGAACUCGUGGUGUAGCGGUGAAAUGCGUAGAUAUCACGAAGAACUCCGAUUGCGAAGGCAGUUCACUGGACUGCAACUGACACUGAGGCUCGAAAGUGUGGGUAUCAAACAGGAUUAGAUACCCUAGUAGUC
RNAcentral lists this ribosomal RNA (460 nucleotides) under uncultured bacterium. RNAcentral's name for it is "partial 16S ribosomal RNA". It matches the Rfam family "Bacterial small subunit ribosomal RNA", at positions 338 to 795 of the family's 1533-position model. The record is from RNAcentral.